AAAAAAACCCAGGGGAAAUAUCAUGUCAUAAAAGUGGUUUUCCCAGGGGGAAGCUCAUCCAUUGCACUUUGGGUAUGCUGCUGAUCCCUGUGAUUUCCCCAAAUGUGGGGAACUCAACUGCAUAAUUUGUACUAAUGGGGGAUUGCGUUUGUGAUUUCCCUGU
This 163-nucleotide small nuclear RNA is filed under the name Pogona vitticeps (central bearded dragon). RNAcentral's name for it is "U1 spliceosomal RNA (ENSPVIG00000007523.1)". It matches the Rfam family "U1 spliceosomal RNA". From Rfam's summary of the family: U1 is a small nuclear RNA (snRNA) component of the spliceosome (involved in pre-mRNA splicing). Its 5' end forms complementary base pairs with the 5' splice junction, thus defining the 5' donor site of an intron. The record is from Rfam by way of RNAcentral. Lineage: Eukaryota; Metazoa; Chordata; Lepidosauria; Squamata; Agamidae.